This is a long non-coding RNA of Oncorhynchus tshawytscha (Chinook salmon), 767 nucleotides long. Lineage: Eukaryota; Metazoa; Chordata; Actinopteri; Salmoniformes; Salmonidae. The record is from Ensembl.
GCGGGCUGGUUCAGAGGCAGAGUAGUCAGGCGGACUGGUUCAGGGUCAGAGGCAGAGUAGUCAGGCAGGCUGGUUCAGGGUCAGAGGCAGAGUAGUCAGGUGGGCUGGUUCAGAGGCAGAGUAGUCAGGCGGGCUGGUUCAGGGUCAGAGGCAGAGUAGUCAGGCGGGCUGGUUCAGGGUCAGGGGCAGAGUAGUCAGGCGGGCUGGUUCAGAGGCAGAGUAGUCAGGCGGACUGGUUCAGGGUCAGAGGCAGAGUAGUCAGGCAGGCUGGUUCAGGGUCAGAGGCAGAGUAGUCAGGCGGGCUGGGUCAGAGGCAGAGUAGUCAGGCGGGCUGGUUCAGAGGCAGAGUAGUCAGGCGGGCUGGUUCAGGGUCAGAGGCAGAGUAGUCAGGCGGGCUGGUUCAGAGGCAGAGUAGUCAGGCGGGCUGGUUCAGAGGCAGAGUAGUCAGGCGGGCUGGUUCAGAGGCAGAGUAGUCAGGCGGGCUGGUUCAGAGGCAGAGUAGUCAGGCGGGCUGGUUCAGAGGCAGAGUAGUCAGGCGGGCUGGUUCAGGGUCAGAGGCAGAGUAGUCAGGCGGGCUGGUUCAGGGUCAGAGGCAGAGUAGUCAGGCGGGCUGGUUCAGGGUCAGAGGCAGAGUAGUCAGGCGGGCUGGUUCAGAGGCAGAGUAGUCAGGCUGGCUGGUUCAGAGGCAGAGUAGUCAGGCGGGCUGGUUCAGAGGCAGAGUAGUCAGGCGGGCUGGUUCAGAGGCAGAGUAGUCAGGCGGGCUGGUU